RNAcentral lists this ribosomal RNA (253 nucleotides) under uncultured bacterium. RNAcentral's name for it is "partial 16S ribosomal RNA". It matches the Rfam family "Bacterial small subunit ribosomal RNA", at positions 524 to 776 of the family's 1533-position model. The record is from RNAcentral.
UACGAAGGGGGCUAGCGUUGUUCGGAAUUACUGGGCGUAAAGCGUAUGUAGGCGGAUCUUUAAGUCGGGGGUGAAAUCCCGAGGCUCAACCUCGGAACUGCCUUCGAUACUGAAGAUCUUGAGUCCGGAAGAGGUGAGUGGAACUCCUAGUGUAGAGGUGGAAUUCGUAGAUAUUAGGAAGAACACCAGUGGCGAAGGCGGCUCACUGGUCCGGUACUGACGCUGAGGUGCGAAAGCGUGGGGAGCAAACAGG